UUUUAAUAAGUAAUUUUGUAAUGAAUUUAUGUCCUUCUCAAUUGGGGUAGAGUUGUAGACUCUUUCCUUCUCUACAAUUUAUUAGACAAGUCAUUAUAAAGAUCGUUUUCCUGAUUGCCAUAGAUAGUUGUUUCUCAGUGUGCAUAGAAAGCUCUUGCUUGAAACUGAUCUCUAUUCUCAGAAAUUUUUCAUUUGCCAAGUAGUGGAGUUUGGUCAAGUAAUACUUUCAUGCCAGUCCUUCGUUUCUCUUAAUUACAACAUACAGCUACAAAAAAGUUAAGGCUGCAGAGAAAGGUAAAAUUGAGGUAAGCUUAUAGCUCGACCUCCUUUUCAGUGUUUUUCUUUGCAGGGAGGAGAAGGGGAAGAUUUAGUUAUUGCUGGCAGCACAGACCUGAAGAUCAAGCUUACACAAUCUGUUGAAAAGCAGUAGUAUAUGCUGUUACAGAGGACUGCCUAUCAAAAUGGCUUUAUUCACAGGUUGAGCCAUUUAGUGGAUUGAAUAAGCCCUGCCCAUGAAGCAUGAAGUGAAAAUUACAAUAUGCAGAUAUAGUGAACUACCUAACAAGCCUGAAAGAGGACUACUGCAUGAGUUCCUGCGUGAUGCAUUGGCAACAAUGCUGGAGUUCUUCAUUCUUUCUUCAUCUGCACAAGAAAGGCAGUCCUUUAGGUUCUUGAUCCUCAGGAAACCUUUUUCUGAUGACCUUUCUAGUUCUCCUAGUUGGAAGUUCCUAUAA
RNAcentral lists this long non-coding RNA (734 nucleotides) under Ficedula albicollis (Collared flycatcher). RNAcentral describes it as "lncRNA (ENSFALG00000025911.1)". The record is from RNAcentral. Lineage: Eukaryota; Metazoa; Chordata; Aves; Passeriformes; Muscicapidae.